UUUUUUUUUUUUUUUUUUUUUUUUUGGUGCAGGCUGUGUGACUGUCCACUACUACGAAACAAUUCUUUUGAAAAGCAAUCAGCACUUGAAGGUAGCUUUCAGAGUUAGAGGGUGGACAGGAAGAACCAGAAGCCAAAACCAAGGCCAAAUCUGAGGUGAAACAACUUAGCCAUGCCAGGCUAAGUUGGUCUCAGAGAGACACAGCCUGUUCCCCUUGGAGCAGCACCCAGUUGAGCCAGUGGAUAAAACUGUUACACAGAACACCUGAGUACCUGCACCCCAUUAGUUUUUCCUCUGUGAAUUGUGGAAGAUCUUUUUUCUCAUCUGGGCCAAGAGAAAAAAAAAUUGCAAUCAAAUGUUUAGCAGCUGUAACUUCACUGUGCAGUGUGAAGGUGGGUCCUGUCCUGCAUGGUGUGAAAUGAACUGGUGCGACUCACCUAUAAGCACCACCUGAUGAAAUACUGAUGGAAAGGAAGAGUAAACUCAGCAGCACAUCUGAGAGUGGAAAUAAUUUAGCCCACACAUAGUAAAUGUUAUUUCCAUUGCUUUUGGGACUGUAAAUCUUACCUUCUCAAUUAGUGAUUACACUGGAAAACCACAAGCAAACCCAGACAUAAAUUACGUGAAAUUAAAAGGACCUUUUGCCUUUCUGUUUCAGUAAAUGUUUUGGAUCAGUAAAGCCAACUAGAAAAAAACUUUUUGACAGAAACUGGGAAAAAUUCCUUCUUGGAAAUGUGGUAGUCCCUGUGAUAAACAGAGGUAUGCUUAGAAAGGGUGUCCCAGGGAUUUCUACUGAUGUGCAAAUUGGGACAUUUGUGUCUUAACAAGAAAAGCAGACAGAAUAAAAUUGCUGGUUUGUUUAUUUAGAGCUAAGUGGAAAGAAAAAAUUAAAAUGAAGGUGAAUAGCACCCAGUGAUGACAGAAGCAAUUUGCCAAGUGUGAUAAAUAUGCCAAAGUUACUAGACACAAUGGCAGAACUCCACAAAGACUGAUGACAAACAGCUUCUUCAGAGCUGGUACAGCACUUAAGGCUCCCAGACUGACAGGAAAAUGGGGGGAAAAGAAAUUAAAGAAACUUUCACAUUGAGUUUCAGUUAAUUAAAAGCAGAAAUUUGGGAGAGGAAACAGUCUUACCUUUUGAAAUGUCACUUGCCCCUCUUUAGAUUAUAUUAUGCACAAAGGCUGAAUAAAUAUUCUUUUGGCACUUAGCGCCAAAUAACAACUCAACUCCACAAAUAGUCUCAGUGCCAUUAUAUGUGCCUUAGAAAAAGUUGAAUACAUGUGUUUAUUUUUUUUUCUCCAAUAUCAGCAAUGAAAGUAAAACAAGAACAUUAAGCAUUUGUGGUCUAUUCCUCUGGAGAUGAGAAAAAAAAAAAGGAAAAAAAACCAAACAAAAAAAAGCAGAUCACACUUCUGUGAUUGUAAGAUUGCUAGAAGGAGCUGACUGUAAAAAGGAACCUAAAGAUCUGGCAAUUUAUAAGAAGUGACCACUUCCCCUUUAGGGGCCGUCAUCAUAUUCUGAUUUACUGAGACUAUAUCAGACUAGAAAUAAGCCCUCUGCAGUACUUCCUCUCUUUGUUAGAAUCACCAGUAACACAAUAGUGAUUUUCAGUUUCCAUUCUACCAGCCAUUUGUAACUCAGUGUUUGCAAAUGCUUCAUAAGCCAGAAAUUCCAGGAAUUACCUCAGAAUCUAUUUGCAUUACCCUUUGUAUCAUACACCAUUGUUUCCAUAUUUCACCCUCUUAAAAAUAAUGCUGGGCACAAUCCAACAAUUUGCUUCUAUCAUAUGAAUGCUAAUAAAGACUUUAUUAGAGAAACAGAUCAUGUGUGUAGUGAUUGCUGAUUACUGACUCUUAGGGGAAAGUUUGCCUGAAGUUUUAAGAACUUGACUGUAAAUUCUUGGAGGCCCUGAUCUAGGAAAACAUUCCUGUAUUGAAACAAUUCCCAUAAUUUUGAUGUGUGUUAGUUAAGCAUUUGCUGUUAAGUUGGGGGGUUUUUUUGUUUUGUUUUGUUUUUUUUUAAUUUAAGUUUUCCCAUCUGCCUAAAAGAUUUGCUGUUGUUCAUCCUCCAGAGCACCUUGGUUUAAGAGAAUCAGUUGCUUGAGUCUGCCCUGGCACCCAGCUCUGAGAUCCAAAUGUUCCUCUGAACACACAAACAGCUGUGGCAAGGCAUUAUUCUGGGCUUAGCAAGUGCACUGCCCAUGAAGCUGAUGUAGAUGCUCAAAAACUGUCAGGAAAGCCAUCAACUUCUAAUAAAUAGUUCUAGCAAGAGAAAGAUUCCUGUGACUCUCUCCUUUUAGCUUAAAGCCCAGUUUCAGCAGUGGGGACAGAGAAUAUAAUUCUUCCAAAGAAAGAUUUUUCUGGGAUGCAUAAGUGUGUAGGUUGAAAUUCCUCAACUAAAAAAUUACUGAAUCCCAGGAUUUCCAUUUCAUCAGUACCCUAAGCAUUACUGUACUCAGAGUCAUAUUGCCUGUACUCACCCCACCCUCAAACACACAGGAAGAAAAAAGCAAGGCCAGAUGAUUCCCUCAAAAAACACAACAUAGGGCCUUAGGUUUGACAGAGAAGCUCCAGCUGUGGAUCACAACUGGAAAAGUCCUUCUCGUCCAGCCCAGAGAGAGGGAGGCAAGCACAAGGAAAGGGUUCACAGCUCAUUCUUUUCUGCAUGGUUUCUCACUGCAGACCAUGCCACAGACCCUCCUACAGCACUGGCUGAGCAGGUUUUGUUAAUUAAUCACUGUGCUAAGGAGGGAACAUCCCUGCUCCCCACUUAGGGGGUGCUGACAGCUGCUGCCUCUCAUCAUCACAUGGGGACAAAGAUGGCUCUCAGUGUUAGCUUUUCUCACGUAACUUUCUUCAGCCUACAAACUCUCUCUUGACAGGGUAACUACCACAGCCUGGCUCUGUUCCUGGUCAUCCUCAAUCACUUCCAUAAUAAGCAUGAUUUUUUAAUUUUAAUUUUUUUAAUAAUGUGAGAGGAACUACAAAGUCAUUAAAAGGUAUAGCUUCCUGGCACAAAUUUAAUUAUCAAUUCCAUCAUCUGAGACCACAUCUCCUGUGAUUGCAGUGUCACAACAGAAAUGCUUCUGCACUCACAUAUGAGGUCAUGCAGAACUCGAAAUACCUUAUCUCUCAUUUUACUUGCUCUAGUUUCACAAAAUUCAGACUAUCCAAUCACUGCCUCAACCAGUUUGUUUUGAUAUAACCUUUUUUGUUAUUGUCUCUUAACUCUGCUGUCCAUCUUGUUUUUAUAGCAUACAUCUUCUUGACAUUUGUUUUUUGUUGUUCUUUCUGAAUAAGUUCCAUACAGUCUUACUUGAUUUUCAAAUUAAAGUUGAUCUGCCAGCCCUGAAAACUAUUAAAUUUCAAUUUAAAAUGUGGCUAUUUAUUUACUGUGGUUAUCAACAUAAAAUGUUUUACAUGUGUAUUUAUUAAAAACUGGCAAAUAAAGGUAUGCUUUUUAACAAUUCUGAAAGUUCAGUAUUUUCAGAUUUUUUUCCUUGCAUUAUUUUAGUGGCAGAACAAUUAUUAACUCCCAGCCCAGUAUUACAUCAUCUCUGGAGGACAGAAAAAAUAGGAGAUGCAAACUUAAACACACACACACACACACACACACACACACACACACAUGCAUUUCAUAUUCCCAUCGCAGAACGUUUACAUAUGAUCUUUAAGCAAAAUAGUCUACCACUGUGGACAAGUGACAGCAACACCAAGAACACAGUAAAAUGAAUAAAAUGUGGACACAAGCAACACAGGGAUCUGCCUUAGAAUAUAGACAGGGAAGGAGAUUAAAAAUUAUUAUUAUUGGUGGACGUUUCAUUGUAGUGAAUUCAAGUUUUACAGAAUUAAAAUGUGCUACCUGUACUCAAUCUGAGCAAUUCCUAAGGCUGGUUCUGCUCUUGGGAAAGGGGAAAGAUCCAAGUAACUUCCUUCCUCUUGCUGGACUUUUACAUUCAUUAAGCUCAGGUGUUCUUCCCACAGAGAUGAGCAUGAAGCAAUACAGGUAAGCACAGCUGUGAAAACACAAACAACCCUGAGAAACGUCUGCUCCUGCUGCACCACUGGGAUCAUCGGUGUGAGCCCCAGCAUGGGGUCUCAGUAACUUUUAGAGCUGGUACCCUUCUGCAAGUGGGGGUUUGGACAAAGUGGACCCUUGAUCAUGUUCUUGGAAGUCCAAGUGUGUUGUGUAAGCAAGUAUCUGUGAGAGCAGCAAAUUAGAAAAAAAAAAAAAAAAAAAAGCAGGGAGUGAGAGUUGUGCAUGUGAGUUACCUAGAGCAGUAACUGGAAAUAAAAAGCUCAAAUGUGGAGUCAGUGGUCUUUUGGUAAGAAGGGAGUCACACCUCAGGCACAUCUCUACUUCCUACUAAAGACACCUGGAUACAACAUUUUUUUCUCAAUUUUUUUAUUUGUCAUUAAAGUGGCCUCACGACACAUAUGCAGCCCUUUUCACCUCUUCCGGUGCUUAUGCUCAAGAAGAACAGUUUGAAGUCUGUCACAACCCAGACGAAGAUGAUUUUUGUCAUUCACGUUGGAAAUAAGUACAUGCUACAUUGGCAGUAUUUCUGCUGUGCUUUGUCUAGAUAUAAAUCUGGCCUUGGGAAAGCCUAGAGAACUUCAGAAAUAUCUUGGAUCUAUCUGGAGACCAAACAAAAAAAGGACGAGUGAUUUAUAUCUGGUUAAUUUGUAGAGCACCUUUCACCUUUGGCUGAAUUUUCAAAACACAUGCUUGUGGUUUUUGCUUGAGGAAUCUAGUGAGCCUGGUAUUUCUUCUGCUAACACAAACCAAUAGUGAAGACACAUAAGAUUACAGGCCAGGCUCCAUGCUUUUAGAGUUUCCAAUUACUUUUUCCUGAUCUCUCUGUGCUAUAAUGGUCUCUUAGAGAGUACGGCAGCAGGGAGUAAGGAUACCCAAGGGAAUGAGGUUCACUUGAACUUGACUUGUAUGUCUGAAGAGCAGGUAUUGAGCUGAUAUUCUUACCAUAGAUUGCACUAUUUUCUUCUCAAGUGCCUCUCUCCAGCUGUAACAGAGCCCUUCUCUUGCUGACUUCUCCUCUGCCCACUUCCCUGAGCUUCUGUUCCAAGCGAGAUUGAAAGAGGAAGUGUUGAAACAGGAGUGCACUUUUCUUACAGUAUUUCUGGAUGAACCGGAAGGAGCAAACACUGGAAAUCUGUCCUGUUUUGCACUCUGUAAACAACUUCUACAGCAACAUAGUUGGGACCAGACAAGUUACGAAUAUGAGCAUAAACUUGCAGACAUCAAGGGCUCCAUGAUUUAUACACACAUUUUACCUCUGUUUCUCAAUUUUAUAAACAAUAUUUGUCUUCUGAAUUAAAAAUAUUAAAAGGGAAUAAAUCACAAUCUAAAAUCACAUCUUUCUUUUUUUUAAAAAAGGAGGAAAAAGACCUGUCCGUUUUUUCCUCCUAAAACAUAUUUUGACACCCCUGAACUCAGACCUAAAAAUUGUGCACCUUUUUUUUUAAGUUUUGGUGCAAAUAAGCAAAGUUGGGUUCUUGCCGAGGCACAAGAGCACGGUGUAAAGAGUUACAAACUCCAAUCUUUUAUUUAUAACAUGCUCUUAUAUCUGAGUUAUGUUUCUUUUCCAGCAGUGCCGUAUCACUGAUCACCAAAUCAUGAAGUCAUAGAACACGCUGAAUUGGAAGGGACCUAGAGGGAUCAUUGAAGUUCAACUCCUGGCACUGUACAGGAAAUGCCAAGAGUCACACCACAUGCCUGAGAGCAUUGUCCAAACACCUCUUGACCUCUGUCAGGCUGGCGCUGUGACCACUUCCCUGGGGAGCCUGUUCCAGUGCCCAAACACUCCCUGGGUGAAGAAGCUUUCCUAUACCCAACCUAAACCUCCCCUGACACAACUUCAGGCCAUUCCCCUGGGUCCUGUCCCUGGUCACCAGAAGAAGAGCUCAGUGCCUGCCCCUUGUGUUCCCCUCAGGAGGAAGCUGUAACUGCAGUGAGGUCUCCCCUCAGUCUCCUCUUCUCCAGGCUGAACAGAUCAAGUGACCUCAUCUGCUCCUCAUAUGGCUACCCCUCAAGGCCCAUUCACCAUCUUUGUGGCCUUCCUCUCUAUUAAUUAUAUAUCUUGCUUAUGUUGUGGCACCCAAACCUAGAGACAUCACUCGAGGUGAGGCCGCCCCAGCUCAGAGCAGAGGGACAAUCCCCUCCCUUGCAUGGCUGGUGAUGCUGUGCCUGAUGCACCCCAGGACAGGCUUGGCUCUCCUGGCUGCCAGGGCACUGCUGGCUCAUGUGCAACUCACCAGGACCCCCAGGUCCCUUUCCCUGGCACUGCUGUCCUGCCUCUCAUUCCUCAGACUGUCUGUACAUCCAGGGUUGCCCCAUGCUAGGUGCAGAAUCCAGAACUCGUCGUUUGUAAGCGUCAUUGCCCAGCCUUCUAAUUUGUUGGGGUCUCUCUGCAGGGCCUCUCUGCCUUUGAGGGAGUAAUUGGCUCCUCCCAAAUUAGUGUCUUUGGCAAACUUACCUUCCAGUCCUGCAUCCAAGUCCUUUAUGAAGAUGUUGAAGGGCUCUGGAUCUAAAAUGGAGCCCUAUGGAACCCCGCUAGUGACCAGUCACUAUUCUGAUUUAACCACAUUUACUGUAACUCUUGGCACCCUACCUGUGAGCUAGUUGAUCACCCAUUGCAUGAUAUAUUUUUCCAGCUUCAUGCUGGCUCAAUGUUUUGUCCAUGUUUUUGCAGUCUCAUAUCUUCAAUAUUCCCUGCUUUACUGCCAUUGUAUGAAAAAAUUGCUCAUAUCAGGCCACAUUUGCUUUGACCCUGUGUUACGUUUAUCUCUCAUGAAACCUAUUUUUGUGACUGAUGUUAAUACCUACAUGUUCUUUAUCCAGUUAGGAAAAUAGUUUCCUUAGCAGUUCCAUAGAGUUGUGCCACACUUUCUUCACAAGCCAUGGCAGCUUUUGUCCUGCAGUCCAGUAUUUACAAUACAAACUUAAUUGUCUUUAUUAGCCAUUAUAUUUUUCUUAACAAAUUAACAUUUGAAAGGCUUGGUAAUUCUAUUUACAGGGCCUGUUGUGGGAAAAACAACCUCCAACAAAUGACUGAAUUCCUCAAGCUCAAUGCAAUCAUAAUUGCUUGAUACGAGGUACAGAUUGCCUUUGUGUUUUCCUAAAUGGGAUUAAUGCUUGGAGGAUUCAGUAACUCCUCAUUAGCAGGCAAAAUGAUUGAGUGCAACUGACUUCCAAAGAAUGGCUUUGGUCAGAUUAUGAGUGUGCCAGAGAAACAUACACCCUAAAUGACUGAAAUAGUCCUUUCAGAUUUCCCUUCUGUGCAGACCAUAGAUUUGAAGGGAUAAUAGACUCUCAGCAAGCAUAAUUGCAGAGUAUUUUCUUACCAUCUCUGGCUAAGUAACUGUGUGGGCUAUGCAGAAAGGCAAAAUUUGAAUUUCAUUUCCUGUCACUGCAGAAGAAAACUGAAAUAUUGUGGCAAUUAUCACAAAAGAGAGAUCCUAGAGGCAGACAUGCUUUUGUGGCCCGAGUAGACCUGUUCCCCACAUAAUAGCAACAGCCUGUAAUGUGUUUUAGAAUUGCUAUGGAAGGAAACAAAAUAAAAAAAAUCAUUUGGCACUU
Long non-coding RNA from Taeniopygia guttata (zebra finch), 7597 nucleotides. The record is from Ensembl. NCBI's taxonomy places the organism in Eukaryota, Metazoa, Chordata, Aves, Passeriformes, Estrildidae.